This 82-nucleotide transfer RNA is filed under the name Candidatus Moraniibacteriota bacterium. Its description in RNAcentral is "tRNA-Leu". It matches the Rfam family "tRNA". Rfam says of the family: Transfer RNA (tRNA) molecules are approximately 80 nucleotides in length. Their secondary structure includes four short double-helical elements and three loops (D, anti-codon, and T loops). Lineage: Bacteria; Candidatus Moraniibacteriota. The record is from RNAcentral.
GCCCAAGUGGUGGAAUUGGUAUACACGCACGACUCAAAAUCGUGUGGCGCAAGCCAUGAGAGUUCGAGUCUCUCCUUGGGCA